UGCUUAACACAUGCAAGUCGAACGGCAGCAUGACCUAGCUUGCUAGGUUGAUGGCGAGUGGCGAACGGGUGAGUAACGCGUAGGAAUAUGCCUUAAAGAGUGGGACAACUUGGGGAAACUCAAGCUAAUACCGCAUAAGCUCUGAGGAGUAAAGCUGGGGACCUUCGGGCCUGGCGCUUUAAGAUUAGCCUGCGUCCGAUUAGCUAGUUGGUGAGGUAAGGGCUUACCAAGGCGACGAUCGGUAGCUGGUCUGAGAGGAUGACCAGCCACACUGGGACUGAGACACGGCCCAGACUCCUACGGGAGGCAGCAGUGGGGAAUAUUGGACAAUGGGGGGAACCCUGAUCCAGCAAUGCCGCGUGUGUGAAGAAGGCCUGAGGGUUGUAAAGCACUUUCAGUGGGGAGGAGUGAACAUUCGGUUAAGAGCUAGAUGUUUGGACGUUACCCACAGAAGAAGCACCGGCUAACUCCGUGCCAGCAGCCGCGGUAAUACGGAGGGUGCGAGCGUUAAUCGGAAUUACUGGG
This 525-nucleotide ribosomal RNA is filed under the name Legionella busanensis. RNAcentral's name for it is "bacterial SSU rRNA". It matches the Rfam family "Bacterial small subunit ribosomal RNA", at positions 45 to 558 of the family's 1533-position model. Lineage: Bacteria; Pseudomonadati; Pseudomonadota; Gammaproteobacteria; Legionellales; Legionellaceae. The record is from RNAcentral.